This 74-nucleotide transfer RNA is filed under the name Promicromonospora citrea. It matches the Rfam family "tRNA". From Rfam's summary of the family: Transfer RNA (tRNA) molecules are approximately 80 nucleotides in length. Their secondary structure includes four short double-helical elements and three loops (D, anti-codon, and T loops). Further hydrogen bonds mediate the characteristic L-shaped molecular structure. tRNAs have two regions of fundamental functional importance: the anti-codon, which is responsible for specific mRNA codon recognition, and the 3' end, to which the tRNAs corresponding amino acid is attached (by aminoacyl-tRNA synthetases). tRNAs cope with the degeneracy of the genetic code in two manners: having more than one tRNA (with a specific anti-codon) for a particular amino acid; and 'wobble' base-pairing, i.e. permitting non-standard base-pairing at the 3rd anti-codon position. RNAcentral also lists the same sequence under 22 other names. The record is from Rfam by way of RNAcentral. Lineage: Bacteria; Bacillati; Actinomycetota; Actinomycetes; Micrococcales; Promicromonosporaceae.
CGGGCUGUGGCGCAGCUUGGUAGCGCAUCUGCUUUGGGAGCAGAGGGUCGCUGGUUCGAAUCCAGUCAGCCCGA